This 460-nucleotide ribosomal RNA is filed under the name uncultured bacterium. RNAcentral's name for it is "partial 16S ribosomal RNA". It matches the Rfam family "Bacterial small subunit ribosomal RNA", at positions 338 to 795 of the family's 1533-position model. The record is from RNAcentral.
CCUACGGGAGGCAGCAGUGAGGAAUAUUGGUCAAUGGGCGCGAGCCUGAACCAGCCAAGUCGCGUGAAGGAUGAAGGAUCUAUGGUUUGUAAACUUCUUUUAUAUGGGAAUAAAGUGCGGAACGUGUUCCUUUUUUUAUGUACCAUAUGAAUCAGCAUCGGCUAACUCCGUGCCAGCAGCCGCGGUAAUACGGAGGAUGCGAGCGUUAUCCGGAUUUAUUGGGUUUAAAGGGUGCGUAGGUGGUUAAUUAAGUCAGCGGUGAAAGUUUGUGGCUCAACCAGAAACUUGCCGUUGAAACUGGGUGACUGGAGGAUAUUUGAGGUAGGCGGAAUGCGUGGUGUAGCGGUGAAAGGCAUAGAUAUCACGCAGAACUCCGAUUGCGAAGGCAGCUUACUAAACUAUAACUGACACUGAAGCACGAAAGCGUGGGGAUCAAACAGGAUUAGAUGCCCGUGUAGUC